Long non-coding RNA from Cheilinus undulatus (humphead wrasse), 923 nucleotides. RefSeq lists it as uncharacterized. The record is from RefSeq and is a predicted model, not a curated record. The transcript is spliced from 4 exons. Lineage: Eukaryota; Metazoa; Chordata; Actinopteri; Labriformes; Labridae.
CCCAAGAUUACUCUACACAUGUACACUGGAUGAUCUUUCUCUUAGCUGAAUUCAAACUUUUUCCUAUCAAAUUUGUCCUGUUUUUGUCGCAGAUGUACCAUCAUCUCCUCCAUCCCAGCUGGACAUACCCAACCCUUCAACUGUGAGGGAAUGAUCGGUCGAGUGAUCAACGUAAAGCUGGAAACACAGACCCAAGAAGUGUGUUGUCAAUCUGUGAGCAGGAAGCUUAUGGAGAAAUAGCUGCUCCCUCGCCGUCAUUCAGCGCUGUGGUGAUGGGCAGAAGUGUAGCAGUGGUGGAGAAGAAGCUGUGCUGGUCUGACGCCCUGUUUUACUGCAGAGACUGCUACUGGGACCUGCUGAGCAUUCGCAGUGAGGCUGAGCAGAGGGAGGUGGAAAAUGCGUUGAAAAAUGUCACUUUCCCGCUCACCAGAGAGCUUUGGUUGGGUCUGCGAAGUAUCUGAUGGCUGACACCUGGUUUUGGAUGACUGGUGCGUUAGAGACCUUCACCUACUGGGAGAAAAUGUCUUCCUGGAAAGUCACCAGUCCAUGUGGUGCCAUGGACACCAGAGACCCCUUCCACUGGAGGGAUGUCCCAUGUUGCGAGCAUCUCCAUUUCAUCUGUUUGAAAGACAUUCAGAGAGACAGGAAAAAAGUGGAGUUCUUCAGCACCCGCAGACCACAAACAGAGAGGAGCCCAGGUUCCCUACUAUUGUCCCCCAUAAUGACUUAAAGCCCCUGCAAAGACUCCCUGGUUGUUGAUUUAUGCACCCCCUUGUGGACAAAGUGGUACCUCUAAGCUCUGUGAUUGGCACACCUUGCACACUUGUAAGUUGCGUUUCAAGAGGAAAUCCCCUCCUUUUGUCUUUUACCUGCGUAGUUUGAGAGCCUCCUGGUUGGUGGAAUUUAAAUGCUGCAUGCAUUUA